UUUACUACAUUUCUUUCGCUUAAUAAAAUUUUCGCUGUUUUUCACAUUAUUGCUUUAUAAAUGCUAAAAGGGUAUAAAAAUGGAUAAAGGUAAUCUGUUCAAUAAUUCGCUUGCCUAGCUCACAUUAGUAGGCGUCAUCACGACUCCCGAGGGUGGGAGUCCGGGUUGUGACAAAGAAUAAUAUUUUAGGCUCAUAACAACCCAUUUUAAGCCUAAUUUUCGGACCUAGCCCAUACCCCUUAACCUAAAAAACCCUACAAAAUACCUAGACUCUAAGACCUAUAGGGAUAACCAAUAGUACCGUUUUCAGAAAACCAAGACCCUACCCCAAACGACCUCAGAACAUUCUGCUUCUUCUUGAACAAAAUGAAGAAGGCCAAAAAACUUUUCAGCUGCUGGAACGCAAAGGAGAUCACACAGAGACCCCAUCAGCUUUCUUCUUCUUCUUCAUGGGAAAACCUAGAAAAAGCUCUAGGACCUAAGGGCUGGAAAUCAGUCGCAACACAAAAAUAACCCCCACCCAUUCUCUUCUUCUUCAACAACAACCAACCCUCAACCGCCGACACACACACACAAUCGCCGCUGGACAGAGAAUCGACGAACACCAUAGCUAUCGCUGUUUCUACUUCUUCCCAUUAGCAACGAACCAAAACCCUAACACCUCAAACAAUGAGCCGUUUCCAUCCAUAUUUGACAACAAACAAAACCUAGAUCCUUAAGACAUCAGCAAGAAAAUACAUAAAACUGGACAGCAUAUCCAACUCUAGACGGAACCUCGCACUGACUCGGCAGAAACAGAGGAUUUGGAACAACUUUAAAGCUGUUAGAACCGUUUAAUUAUGAGAUUGUUGUUUGUUUUGUCGGCUGAGCUUCGUAUGUAGUUUCCAUGUCCUUCAAGUGGUCCGAUUUGGCAGUCAACUUCAUUUUGGAUGAAUUUUGAUUAAAAUGUGGGUUUUGAAUCUGGGUAUGGUUGAGUUUCUAGUGACGAUUCGAGAUUUCGUCCUGUUUUCAGCUUUCUAGUGCUAAUUCGGGUUCAGUCCAUGGUCUGUUAUAUUGUUGAGUUUAAAACAGUCAAAUAACCAAUUUUUCUGCUAUAUUGAGGUCCAUUUCUUUUCAUCUCUUUAUUUAAUCGAUGGAUAUACCUCUUUGUUUCAACAAGUUUGAAUAUGUUUAUGAUUUGUUUAAUGUGGGUUAGUUUCAUUGUUAUAUUGUUUCAUUUGUUCUUUAUUUAUUUUUUCUUACAAGAUAUGUUCAAUAAAAUGAAGACAUGAAUAAACUUGAAUGAAAGUGGCAAACAGUGACUUGUUUGAAUCGUGGAUGGUUGAUCAAAAAUGGGUUUGGGUCAAAUUCAUUAAAUUGAUGUUGGAUAUGCGGGUUCGGGAUUGAGAUGUACUUUGACUAAAUCGUUCAUUCCUAUUUCCAAGUCUGUCUUUUUAGUUCCUAACUUAUAACAAAAAUUCUUUAUUUAGCUAAUAUAUGUCAACAACCAACUUUGUGAAGGAAUAUUUUGAACCUCUUAAUUAAUAGUGAAAGAACUGUUGUUUCGAAGAAGUUUGCUGAAUUCGAAUAAAAGCUGCGCAAGCAAAAUUCAUAUGAAUGUCUAAAUUGCAACAAGUUUGCUUUGUUGGAAAAUAGAACUCUAGGACUAAACUUUCUGUUAUGAAUUGUGUACACGUUCGCGUGACAUAAUUUUUGACGCGCCAAACAAAUGGAUACACGUACGCGUGACCUAUUUUCAAGAUAAUUUCUUAAUUAAAAGGCAAAUGCACAUAGGUUCUAAAAUUGGGUAACGAAACAAUUUGAUUAAGCCAAGUAUGAUCAAAGCGACCGUGCUAAAACCAUAGAACUCGGGAAUGCCUAACACGUUCUCCCGAGUUAGCAGAAUUCCUUACCCGAAUUUCUAUGUUCGCAGACCAUAAAUAGAGUCAAAUUUCCUCGAUUCGGGAUUUUAAACCGGUGACUUGGGACACCAUAAAUAAUCCGAAGUGGCGAUUCUGAUUCUAAUUUAAAUAAUCUCAUUUCGAUUGUCACUUAAAUUGGUAAAAACUGUCUUAUACCCCUUUUCGGGGUGGUAAAAAGGAGGCGUGACAGCUCUGGCGACUCUGUUGGGGACAAGAACCCAGAACUUCUGGUUCAGGGUUCAAAAUUCGAGCUUGUUAAUAUGUUUUUUUGCUUGGCUUCAUUUAUUGUUGAUAUUACACUAUUUUGUGGAUCUACUGUGCUAAUUGUUGUCUAUUUACCGCUUUGAUAUUAUUUAAAUUGUACAUAAAUGUCUUCUUACGCCACCCCUCUGAGUCUUCUGAAAGUGGAGCACACGUUCGCGUGGCCCGCUUUUUAUGUAGAAGUCAUACCAAAUAGAACGAGGUUGGGCAAGCAACAAGGCCGUGUAGACUUUAGUGCUCCCGGUACGUUGCCCCCUCUUCGGCUCGAGUUGUCCGCUCGGGUAAGCUAGGUCAAGAACACAACCCUAAGUUUAAACUUAGAAUAACAUAACCUCAUGCCGGAUCCCUAGUAGGCACGUUUGUUUGUAUCAUGUGCAUUUGACUUUGGGGACUCAACACGGGGGUUGAGUCCGUCUAGGACAGGUGUACCCAAAAAUAAAAGACCAUCCUGAUGCAUCCUAUGUGCUACAUGUUACAAUCUUCAAGGGUAAAAGGAUCAUUUGGCGGACCAAUGAUAAUUGAGGGCAAAUGAAAAAAAAAGAGAAUGAAGUGUGAAAAUAAAGUUAAAAGAAAAAGAAAAAAACAUAAAAAAUUCAAAAAAAAAGAUUUUGCACCUUUUCAUCAUUUACAGAAAACAAAAAUCAAAAAAGGGGAAAAGAAAAUCCAAAAAGAGUUUACACAUUUCAUCUUUUUUUUUUAAAAAAGGACAAAAAACAUAUUUUCUCUAAAUUAGUUGUUUUUUUUAAUUCUCGUCCGUAUCCAAUCUGCCCGAACUAUGCAUACCUGAUUCUCAUCUUUCGAGGCGUGAUACGUAGACAACCCACAUAAGGUCCGAUCUUCCUAGUGAGUUUAGGUUCUUGGCUUCACGAGGUCUUAGCCAAAUCUUGCAUUUUUAGCUCCUUUUAGCCACAUAGGUUAAUUUUAAAAAAAUAGUCACAACCAUGUCUUGCAUGUAUCUAGUAGGGAAUGUUAUUGUCUCACAUAGUGUUGGUUUCAAUUUUCUCAUACAGGUGUGGAUCUACUUACCAGAGUUUAAGCAUGACAGAUACCCCACGACCACUGCAUUCAAGAGCUGCCCGAGGAGCUUUUUUAUGUUUUUGAGUCUACUGUUCAUGUUUACUUUCUAGUCUUGUACAGUAGUAUUCAGUCAUUUAGUUGAUGCUAGAGUCUGUC
RNAcentral lists this long non-coding RNA (3335 nucleotides) under Nicotiana tabacum (common tobacco). RNAcentral describes it as "long non-coding RNA (NTAB_LNC014061)". The record is from RNAcentral. Lineage: Eukaryota; Viridiplantae; Streptophyta; Magnoliopsida; Solanales; Solanaceae.